UUGUUUUUUUUUUUCAUCAAACAAGCACGUUUAACUUUUCAUAGCAGAUGAAUUCAUGUCAGCAAACAAGACACCAUUAAAAUACAAAAUAGCAGUGAUGUAUCUAAGUGCAGCAUUUGAAAAACACCCAAAGGAAAAUACAAUCCAACAAACAAAGCCAUCCCGUGUUUAGUACUCCUCGUGAUCAUCAUCCUCUCCUUCUUCCAAUUCAGCACCAACCUCCUCGUAAUCCUUCUCCAAAGCAGCUAAAUCUUCACGUGCUUCACUGAACUCGCCUUCUUCCAUACCCUCACCAACAUACCAGUGGACAAAA
Molecule: unclassified non-coding RNA, 313 nt
Filed under: Hevea brasiliensis (rubber tree)
Lineage: Eukaryota; Viridiplantae; Streptophyta; Magnoliopsida; Malpighiales; Euphorbiaceae
Source: RNAcentral